This 207-nucleotide ribosomal RNA is filed under the name uncultured bacterium. RNAcentral describes it as "partial 16S ribosomal RNA". It matches the Rfam family "Bacterial small subunit ribosomal RNA", at positions 568 to 774 of the family's 1533-position model. The record is from RNAcentral.
CUCGUAGGCGGUUCGUCGCGUCCGGUGUGAAGGUCCAUCGCCUAACGGUGGAUCUGCGCCGGGUACGGGCGGGCUGGAGUGCGGUAGGGGAGACUGGAAUUCCCGGUGUAACGGUGGAAUGUGUAGAUAUCGGGAAGAACACCAAUGGCGAAGGCAGGUCUCUGGGCCGUUACUGACGCUGAGGAGCGAAAGCGUGGGGAGCGAACA